AUCUAUGAUGAUUCUGGAGCUCAUGGU
Molecule: non-coding RNA, 27 nt
Filed under: Rattus norvegicus (Norway rat)
Lineage: Eukaryota; Metazoa; Chordata; Mammalia; Rodentia; Muridae
Source: RNAcentral